GUUCCUUGCAAGGACUUGGUGCCUUUAGUUGUGGACAUUUUGGUUAAGCACUUUGGAGCUGUCCCUAGAGAGAGGGAAGAGGUGGAAGAUUAGGUUGAAGAAUCAUUAUUUCUUAUUUUUUAACCCUUUCUUUUCUUGCUUUUGUUUUGUGUAAUUGUGGGAUGUAGGAUACCAGAAGUUAUUGUUUAUCAUGUAAAAUUAGUUUGCUC
Molecule: unclassified non-coding RNA, 209 nt
Filed under: Hevea brasiliensis (rubber tree)
Lineage: Eukaryota; Viridiplantae; Streptophyta; Magnoliopsida; Malpighiales; Euphorbiaceae
Source: RNAcentral